UUGACCUCGGAUCAGGUAGGAAUACCCGCUGAACUUAAGCAUAUCAAUAAGCGGAGGAAAAGAAACCAACAGGGAUUGCCCCAGUAACGGCGAGUGAAGCGGCAACAGCUCAAAUUUGAAAUCUGGCCUCACGGCCCGAGUUGUAAUUUGCAGAGGAUGCUUUUGGUGAGGCACCUACCGAGUCCCCUGGAAUGGGGCGCCACAGAGGGUGAGAGCCCCGUAUGGUAGGACGCCGAGCCUCUGUAAAGCUCCUUCGACGAGUCGAGUAGUUUGGGAAUGCUGCUCUAAAUGGGAGGUAAAUUUCUUCUAAAGCUAAAUACCGGCCAGAGACCGAUAGCGCACAAGUAGAGUGAUCGAAAGAUGAAAAGCACUUUGAAAAGAGGGUUAAAAAGUACGUGAAAUUGUUGAAAGGGAAGCGCUUGCGACCAGACUUGCGCCGGGCGGAUCAUCCAGCGUUCUCCGCUGGUGCACUCCGCCCGGCUCAGGCCAGCAUCGGUUCUCGCCGGGGGACAAAAGCUUCGGGAACGUAGCUCCCUUCGGGGAGUGUUAUAGCCCGCUCGCAUAAUACCCCGGCGGGGACCGAGGACCGCGCUUCGGCAAGGAUGCUGGCGUAAUGGUCAUCAGCGACCCGUCUUGAAACACGGACCGAGGAGUCAAGCAUUGGUGCGAGUGUUUGGGUGUAAAACCCGCACGCGUAAUGAAAGUGAACGUAGGUGAGAGCUUCGGCGCAUCAUCGACCGAUCCUGAUGUUUUCGGAUGGAUUUGAGUAGGAGCAUCAACGCUUGGACCCGAAAGAUGGUGAACUAUACUCGAAUAGGGUGAAGCCAGAGGAAACUCUGGUGGAGGCUCGCAGCGGUUCUGACGUGCAAAUCGAUCGUCAAAUUUGAGUAUAGGGGCGAAAGACUAAUCGAACCAUCUAGUAGCUGGUUUCAGCCGAAGUUUCCCUCAGGA
This 951-nucleotide ribosomal RNA is filed under the name Neocordana musae. Its description in RNAcentral is "eukaryotic LSU rRNA". It matches the Rfam family "Eukaryotic large subunit ribosomal RNA", at positions 1 to 978 of the family's 3401-position model. The record is from RNAcentral. Lineage: Eukaryota; Fungi; Ascomycota; Sordariomycetes; Magnaporthales; Pyriculariaceae.